GGUUAAGCGACUAAGCGUACACGGUGGAUGCCCUGGCAGUCAGAGGCGAUGAAGGACGUGCUAAUCUGCGAUAAGCGUCGGUAAGGUGAUAUGAACCGUUAUAACCGGCGAUUUCCGAAUGGGGAAACCCAGUGUGAUUCGUCACACUAUCAUUAACUGAAUCCAUAGGUUAAUGAGGCGAACCGGGGGAACUGAAACAUCUAAGUACCCCGAGGAAAAGAAAUCAACCGAGAUUCCCCCAGUAGCGGCGAGCGAACGGGGAGGAGCCCAGAGCCUGAAUCAGUGUGUGUGUUAGUGGAAGCGUCUGGAAAGGCGCGCGAUACAGGGUGACAGCCCCGUACACAAAAAUGCACAUGCUGUGAGCUCGAUGAGUAGGGCGGGACACGUGGUAUCCUGUCUGAAUAUGGGGGGACCAUCCUCCAAGGCUAAAUACUCCUGACUGACCGAUAGUGAACCAGUACCGUGAGGGAAAGGCGAAAAGAACCCCGGCGAGGGGAGUGAAAAAGAACCUGAAACCGUGUACGUACAAGCAGUGGGAGCACGCUUCGGCGUGUGACUGCGUACCUUUUGUAUAAUGGGUCAGCGACUUAUAUUCUGUAGCAAGGUUAACCGAAUAGGGGAGCCGAAGGGAAACCGAGUCUUAACUGGGCGUUAAGUUGCAGGGUAUAGACCCGAAACCCGGUGAUCUAGCCAUGGGCAGGUUGAAGGUUGGGUAACACUAACUGGAGGACCGAACCGACUAAUGUUGAAAAAUUAGCGGAUGACUUGUGGCUGGGGGUGAAAGGCCAAUCAAACCGGGAGAUAGCUGGUUCUCCCCGAAAGCUAUUUAGGUAGCGCCUCGUGAAUUCAUCUCCGGGGGUAGAGCACUGUUUCGGCAAGGGGGUCAUCCCGACUUACCAACCCGAUGCAAACUGCGAAUACCGGAGAAUGUUAUCACGGGAGACACACGGCGGGUGCUAACGUCCGUCGUGAAGAGGGAAACAACCCAGACCGCCAGCUAAGGUCCCAAAGUCAUGGUUAAGUGGGAAACGAUGUGGGAAGGCCCAGACAGCCAGGAUGUUGGCUUAGAAGCAGCCAUCAUUUAAAGAAAGCGUAAUAGCUCACUGGUCGAGUCGGCCUGCGCGGAAGAUGUAACGGGGCUAAACCAUGCACCGAAGCUGCGGCAGCGACACUAUGUGUUGUUGGGUAGGGGAGCGUUCUGUAAGCCUGUGAAGGUGUACUGUGAGGUAUGCUGGAGGUAUCAGAAGUGCGAAUGCUGACAUAAGUAACGAUAAAGCGGGUGAAAAGCCCGCUCGCCGGAAGACCAAGGGUUCCUGUCCAACGUUAAUCGGGGCAGGGUGAGUCGACCCCUAAGGCGAGGCCGAAAGGCGUAGUCGAUGGGAAACAGGUUAAUAUUCCUGUACUUGGUGUUACUGCGAAGGGGGGACGGAGAAGGCUAUGUUGGCCGGGCGACGGUUGUCCCGGUUUAAGCGUGUAGGCUGGUUUUCCAGGCAAAUCCGGAAAAUCAAGGCUGAGGCGUGAUGACGAGGCACUACGGUGCUGAAGCAACAAAUGCCCUGCUUCCAGGAAAAGNNNNNNNNNNNNNNNNNNNNNNNNNNNNNNNNNNNNNNNNNNNNNNNNNNNNNNNNNNNNNNNNNNNNNNNNNNNNNNNNNNNNNNNNNNNNNNNNNNNNNNNNGUUAAUUGAUGGGGUUAGCGCAAGCGAAGCUCUUGAUCGAAGCCCCGGUAAACGGCGGCCGUAACUAUAACGGUCCUAAGGUAGCGAAAUUCCUUGUCGGGUAAGUUCCGACCUGCACGAAUGGCGUAAUGAUGGCCAGGCUGUCUCCACCCGAGACUCAGUGAAAUUGAACUCGCUGUGAAGAUGCAGUGUACCCGCGGCAAGACGGAAAGACCCCGUGAACCUUUACUAUAGCUUGACACUGAACAUUGAGCCUUGAUGUGUAGGAUAGGUGGGAGGCUUUGAAGUGUGGACGCCAGUCUGCAUGGAGCCGACCUUGAAAUACCACCCUUUAAUGUUUGAUGUUCUAACGUUGGCCCGUUAUCCGGGUUGCGGACAGUGUCUGGUGGGUAGUUUGACUGGGGCGGUCUCCUCCUAAAGAGUAACGGAGGAGCACGAAGGUUGGCUAAUCCUGGUCGGACAUCAGGAGGUUAGUGCAAUGGCAUAAGCCAGCUUGACUGCGAGCGUGACGGCGCGAGCAGGUGCGAAAGCAGGUCAUAGUGAUCCGGUGGUUCUGAAUGGAAGGGCCAUCGCUCAACGGAUAAAAGGUACUCCGGGGAUAACAGGCUGAUACCGCCCAAGAGUUCAUAUCGACGGCGGUGUUUGGCACCUCGAUGUCGGCUCAUCACAUCCUGGGGCUGAAGUAGGUCCCAAGGGUAUGGCUGUUCGCCAUUUAAAGUGGUACGCGAGCUGGGUUUAGAACGUCGUGAGACAGUUCGGUCCCUAUCUGCCGUGGGCGCUGGAGAACUGAGGGGGGCUGCUCCUAGUACGAGAGGACCGGAGUGGACGCAUCACUGGUGUUCGGGUUGUCAUGCCAAUGGCACUGCCCGGUAGCUAAAUGCGGAAGAGAUAAGUGCUGAAAGCAUCUAAGCACGAAACUUGCCCCGAGAUGAGUUCUCCCUGACUCCCUGAGAGUCCUGAAGGAACGUUGAAGACGACGACGUUGAUAGGCCGGGUGUGUAAGCGCAGCGAUGCGUUGAGCUAACCGGUACUAAUGAACCGUGAGGCUUAACCUU
This 2731-nucleotide ribosomal RNA is filed under the name Escherichia coli. RNAcentral describes it as "23S ribosomal RNA". It matches the Rfam family "Bacterial large subunit ribosomal RNA". Lineage: Bacteria; Pseudomonadati; Pseudomonadota; Gammaproteobacteria; Enterobacterales; Enterobacteriaceae. The record is from RNAcentral.